Molecule: transfer RNA, 85 nt
Filed under: Lachnospiraceae bacterium OttesenSCG-928-E19
Lineage: Bacteria; Bacillati; Bacillota; Clostridia; Lachnospirales; Lachnospiraceae
Description: tRNA-Leu
Rfam family: tRNA
About the family: Transfer RNA (tRNA) molecules are approximately 80 nucleotides in length. Their secondary structure includes four short double-helical elements and three loops (D, anti-codon, and T loops). Further hydrogen bonds mediate the characteristic L-shaped molecular structure. tRNAs have two regions of fundamental functional importance: the anti-codon, which is responsible for specific mRNA codon recognition, and the 3' end, to which the tRNAs corresponding amino acid is attached (by aminoacyl-tRNA synthetases). tRNAs cope with the degeneracy of the genetic code in two manners: having more than one tRNA (with a specific anti-codon) for a particular amino acid; and 'wobble' base-pairing, i.e. permitting non-standard base-pairing at the 3rd anti-codon position.
Source: RNAcentral
GCGGUUGUGGCGAAAUUGGUAGACGCGCAUCGUUGAGGUCGAUGUGGAGCAAUCCUUGGGGGUUCAAGUCCCCCCAACCGCACCA